CUACGGGAGGCAGCAGUGGGGAAUCUUGCACAAUGGGCGAAAGCCUGAUGCAGCAACGCCGCGUGCGGGAAGAAGGCCCUAGGGUUGUAAACCGCUUUCAGUAGGGAAGAAAAUGACGGUACCUACAGAAGAAGGUGCGGCCAACUACGUGCCAGCAGCCGCGGUGACACGUAGGCACCAAGCGUUAUCCGGAUUUAUUGGGCGUAAAGAGCUCGUAGGCGGUUUGGUAAGUCGGGUGUGAAAACUCUGGGCUCAACCCAGAGAGGCCACCCGAUACUGCUAUGACUAGAGUACGGUAGGGGAGCGGGGAAUUCAUGGUGUAGCGGUGAAAUGCGCAGAUAUCAUGAGGAACACCAGCGGCGAAGGCGCCGCUCUGGGCCGUAACUGACGCUGAGGAGCGAAAGCGUGGGGAGCAAACAGGAUUAGAAACCCUGGUAGUCC
Molecule: ribosomal RNA, 441 nt
Filed under: uncultured bacterium
Lineage: Bacteria
Description: bacterial SSU rRNA
Rfam family: Bacterial small subunit ribosomal RNA
Source: RNAcentral